This 1045-nucleotide long non-coding RNA is filed under the name Strigops habroptila (Kakapo). Its description in RNAcentral is "lncRNA (ENSSHBG00005001780.1)". Lineage: Eukaryota; Metazoa; Chordata; Aves; Psittaciformes; Psittacidae. The record is from RNAcentral.
UAUUGCUGGAGGCUUUAUACUAAUCACGUGCUAAAUACUGAGUUACUACACUAGGUUAGAGUGGAGCUUUUUGGAAAACUCUGUUACCGUUGUAAUGAUAAAAGAGCAUUUCCUUCCUAUAUAGGCAGCACCUCUUACAGUAAAGUGUGAAGGUGUGUGAGUGAGCUUGACUGUGUGUGCACGGCAGUGUACCGAGCAUGGGGAAAUGUAUGGGUAAAAAAUAUAGUAAGUUGUUUUGUAUAAAGCUAUUUUUCAUUAUGGGGACUAGAAGUGAACAGAGAUAUACUAAAGUGUGAUUAUACACAACUGUAAAACUGAAACUAAAAUAUUUUUCUUUUAUUUUGGUGUUAUUUAGCUUUGUUACAGAUUUCUAUUUUUGUCAACAAAUAUCAUGGUUCCUUUCGAGAUCUUUUUGCCAAAACAUUUUGAUACUAUUGUGAUGUACAUUUGAAAGUAGUAUGCUGGACAGUAAACCUCUGCACAAGAAACAGAACCAGACUGGUCUGAGCGUGUAUGAGGCAACUCAACCUAUUGCACUGCCAUUCAGAUUAUAUUUAAGAAUUUGCCAGCCAAGAAAAAAAUAAUAAUAAUAAAUAGUUUCACACAUAGAGGUAGUUGCUGAUUACUUUUUUCUUUUUCCUUAGCUAAAUCCACCCUUUUCCUUCCGUUUUCUUUUACUGAGACCUGGUAGCCCAUUAAUGUAUUGCAUUGUGGAUUUUAAAAUGUACACUUCAGUACUGUUCUGUAUACUGGCAAACUUUUGUACAUAUCUAUAAAUAUCUAUAAAUAAAUAAAUACUGUAUGUGGCUGGGCACAUAGAGUAGUUUUACCACACCAAAGUUAAUUUUUAUGCAUGCUUAAAAAUAUAUAUGGGGAAGGGUUGAAAAAGCUGGAUAUCAAUCAAAUAGGAAAAAAAACAAAGCAAGAAGCUUGCACAGCUCCUGGUUUUGUAAAUAAAUUUAUUUGUAUAACACCAUAAUGUAAUAUACAGAACUAUGAUAAGCAAAGAUCUUUACAAAAAUAAAGGGCUGCAUGCUUAUAUAUU